Molecule: long non-coding RNA, 2707 nt
Organism: Vombatus ursinus (common wombat)
Lineage: Eukaryota; Metazoa; Chordata; Mammalia; Diprotodontia; Vombatidae
Exons: 3
Source: RefSeq, a predicted model, not a curated record
UAUUGUUAAAUUUGAUUUUUAAAUAUGCUAUCACUUUCCACCCUAUAGGUAAAUUCAUCCCAUGCACAUUCCAAACUAUAAUUACUUGUUAUUUAUUUCCCUCCUUCCUAUUUGCCCUCACUGAACUUCUCCCCCUAUUCCUAUCCCUCCUCUCUUCUCUCCUUUUAAAGUUCUCUAGGAAAUCUUUUUGUGCUGUGGACCAUUUGGCAUUCCUCGUUGAAAAAGGAGUAGCUUUUUUAGCUCCAUUAUCUUCCUCUGAAUAUGAACCCAAAUCUUCUCUAUCCCUAUAGUAGCUAUCUAUAGUUGGGUUCUUUUUCCUUUGCUUGCUCAUUUUUAAAAUGUUUUGUUUUAUUAUUAUUAUUAUUUAGCAGCUAUUUGGUUAAUCAAGUUGCAGCCCUGAGGUAUGAGGAAAUGAUGCCCCAAGCCUCAGUUCCUUCUUACAAUUAUUUCCUUUUUUUUUCUUUACUGUUACUUUCUGAAGUCUGUCCUGGGGCUCAACCUUGGGCUCUUCUUUCCACUCCUAAGCCACCACUAGAGCCCCAUUCACACUUUCAUGCAGAUGAUCUUACUCCCUGCUGUCUCUCCAGUGACUGUAAACUACAGCUGUCCUCUCUGCCCUGGAACAGAAACCAUGGGCUGCACUCUCCUGCAAGUGCCCACAGCCAGCAGGAUCCUUGCCCCUCUGUUACUGCACUUACCAAUGGUGUGCAAGCUCUUUCUCCCCCUCAGAGGCAACCCAGCCCAGCACUUGUGUGGUCAGCCCAGCUGUGCUUAGCAACCCUCAGCAAUGGAAGGUCCUUCAGUCUCCUCCUACAACCAUCAGAUCCCAACACUGUCCUUGAGAUGAAAGUUUCUAAGCCUGAGGCUGCCUCCCAAACCCAGCUGCUCCCAGGGCUUGUUGUUGCUGAUUCAGCAGAGUUGGCCUGAAGGAGUUUGCACUUCACUCAGGCCCAACCUCUGCCCUAGAGGUCAGGUCUUUUCUGAGAUCUUCUCAGGUUGUUUUAGGCAAACAACUGCUUUACCUCAAGUUCAUUUCUGCUGCUCUGAGGCUAUGUUCUGUCUGUUUUUUGGUGGAGGAAUUGGAGAGCUGAAAGUUUUCCUGGGAAUUCUGGGAAGGUGGGAGAGGAUUCUAUCAUUCUUUAUGAAACAUCAUUUUAUUCCCUCAGAGCGCAAGACCAUCAUAAUUGAGUAUGAUCAUCACUGACUCCCACAAGAGUUCCAAUCUGGGAGUUUGGCAGCACACUGUCUAAGGAGACCAUUGUAUUCCAAGAUCCAUGGCCACUUGGGAUCUCAGGAAGAUUACAGAUUCCCAAGGAGCCAUUGUGUACAGCCUCCUUGUCCAGAUCUUCAAGAUAGAGAGUCACCAUCAGCUGUAAGGCCAGUGAGAGUCUAACAGAUAGCGAUGGUGAUGACUACUUACAUUGGUACCAGCAGAAACCUGGCCAAGCCCCCAGGCUCCUCAUUUUCUGGACUAACAGCCUGGUAUCUGGAGUGCCUGCCCGGUUCAGGGGCAGUGGGUCUGGGACAGAUUUCACUCUCACCAUCAGCAGCCUGGAGCCCGAGGAUGCUGGAGAUUAUUCCUGUCAGCAGUCUAACGAGCUUCCCUUCCCCACGGUGCUUCAAGCCUUGAACAAAAACCUCCCCAGACUGUUCGGGGGAUUCAGCUCAGAGCAGCAGCUGCCUCCUCUCUAGUCCCCAGGACAGAGCAGCCCCUGUUCUCUGGGCAGGCUCACAUCUCCCAGGGCUUCCCCUUUCUGGUCCCACAGGUGUGCACCUGUAACAAAGUCUUGUCAAUCACAAACCCUGUCUGCAUAGCCAAGACAGAGUGCUGCAGGUAGUGCAGCCUCCUGGGAAACAAAAAGGAAAAUCGAAACAGGGGAGACAGUCACAUUUCAAGUCCUCUCAGUAUCUUUGCCUCAAAUGUUUCUGUUGUGGGAACCCAAGUUCCUGUUGAGAAGACUUUGCUCUAGUUCUCUUUAGCAAAUAAUAGAGACUUGUUGCUUGGUUUUAUUCAGUUGUGCCUGCCUCUUCAUGACCCUACUUGGGGUUUUCUUGGCAAAGGUCCUGGAAUGGUUUGCCAUUUCCUUCUCAACCUCAUUUCACCGAUGAGGAAACUAUAGCAAAUAGGGUUAAGUGAUUAGCCCUGGGUCACUGUAGGGCAGGAGGCACUGGAGCUUCUGGGCUCCAGCUUCUAACAGGUUCACUCUUAAUGUGGGCAGCCAGAAGCACAGGAACUAAGACAUGAUGAGGGAUUAAAUAACUUAUUCUUGUCAAAUGUGUUGCUGAUAAUGGAAGCACCAACUCUUAUAGCUUCCCCUCAUUACUUUUCUCAGAGGGGUGGGGGAGAAUAUACAAAGUAGGAGCUCCGCGUCCUACAAUGAGCCCCAAAACCUCAAUGGGGGCCAUUUGAGGCAAGCACAGCAUUACACUGUCAUAUUCCCCCCAAACCCUGAUGGGGGCAGGUCAAGGCACACGCAACUUUUAGUUGGCACAUUUCCCAUUUACUGACCGGUGCUCACUUGAUUUAUAGAGGAGCACACAAAGGAGGCAAUUUGGCAGCAAUAGCCUCACACGUUUAUACCAUCUCAUCAUUAUAUCUCAAUCCCCAGUUGCAGCAGAACUUGUUUACAAUGUGGAAUCCUGGGAACUAGUCGAUUAUUUGUGGCCAUGGGUCCUGGGAACUAUUAUUUAAAAAAGAAUAAUAAAA